CAAUAGUGAAUGUUUUUGUCAUAUAGUUGCAUUUUCUUUGCUUUUCCCUCUAUUUUUAAGACACAGCGAGGCUAGGUUGAGGUAUGAGGGCUACUCGGAAAAAGAGAUCUGCCAAGAAGAAAGAUGGCAGGACCAGCAAAGCGGAGAAAGAAAGGCUACAGAAAGAGGAAGAGGAGCGGAGGAGGAAGGAGGAAGAGGAGGCUCUUCUCAUCGCUGAGCAGGAGAGGCUGGAGAGAGAGCAGAGAGAAGAAGAGGAAAGACAGAGGCAUGAGUUAAAGGUUAGAUCAAUCUUAAGGUAAAAUUACAAGAUAGUAGGACUCCAAACGUCUACAUAUACUAAACAGGUGAGAAAUCUUAGAACACACCUGAUUUUUACCUUUAUUUUUGCCAUUUAACCCGUUUAAACCCUG
RNAcentral lists this long non-coding RNA (410 nucleotides) under Astyanax mexicanus (Mexican tetra). RNAcentral's name for it is "lncRNA (ENSAMXG00005001514.1)". The record is from RNAcentral. Lineage: Eukaryota; Metazoa; Chordata; Actinopteri; Characiformes; Acestrorhamphidae.